This is a long non-coding RNA of Periophthalmus magnuspinnatus, 764 nucleotides long. RefSeq lists it as uncharacterized. The transcript is spliced from 3 exons. The record is from RefSeq and is a predicted model, not a curated record. NCBI's taxonomy places the organism in Eukaryota, Metazoa, Chordata, Actinopteri, Gobiiformes, Gobiidae.
CUAUCGGUUCCUGCUGUUUUAACAGAGCUCAGAUCCUCCAUGGCAGUAUCGUGGCUUCAGCGCGUCUGCCUCUUGAUGGCGCUGUUCGUUCUGGUGGCUGGUGAACCACAGGUCCUGUGCGGGGCUGAUCUGGUGGACGCUAUUCAGUUUGUCUGUGGAGAACGAAGGGUGUACCCUAGCAGUCGCAAAAAUGACGCUGCGACUCAGAGCCAGAGGAGACAAAAGCGGAAAGAAAUUGUGGACACGUGCUGCCACAGAGAAUGUUCUUUGGAAAUCCUGGAGCAAUGGUGCAAACUAUAGCCAAGAAAGCGCCAGGAGCCCUCGUGUUAGCAUGAGCUUAGCAUGAAGUCGCUCGGUUUACGUUGAAUCCUAAAGCUACACUAUGUAACUUUUCUAGUGAAUAGGCUGCAACUUCCUCGACUUGAUGAAAAUAUGAAAUUAAUCAGAUUUAUAUAGAGGUUUUCCACCUUUAAGACAUUUAUGGAGCUGGAAUCGCACCACCAACCUGCGAACAAAGGGAUCCGGCCGCCCUGACCGCCUGAAAUGUCCCACAGUGACACGGCAUUACGUGUAAACUGAGCUGUUCCCAUGGAGACGAGCAGAUGCAUGUUUUUCAAGGUAAAAACGUGCAAUGGAAUAAAAGCAAGUUCGAUCGGUUUAAUGUAACACCACGGAACAUUCCAGGCAAAACAUGACACGACCAUGAUGAUAUUUGGAAAAGUUACAUUGUUAAACUUUAAAUAAAACUGGAAAAGUAUUGAUUU